GACGAACGCUGGCGGCGUGCCUAAUACAUGCAAGUCGAGCGAAUUUACGAGAGCUUGCUCUCGUAAAUUAGCGGCGGACGGGUGAGUAACACGUGGGCAACCUGCCUAUAAGACUGGGAUAACUUCGGGAAACCGGAGCUAAUACCGGAUAAUUCACAUCUACUCAUGUAGAUGUGCUGAAAGACGGUUUACGCUGUCACUUAUAGAUGGGCCCGCGGCGCAUUAGCUAGUUGGUGAGGUAACGGCUCACCAAGGCAACGAUGCGUAGCCGACCUGAGAGGGUGAUCGGCCACACUGGGACUGAGACACGGCCCAGACUCCUACGGGAGGCAGCAGUAGGGAAUCUUCCGCAAU
This 354-nucleotide ribosomal RNA is filed under the name uncultured bacterium. Its description in RNAcentral is "bacterial SSU rRNA". It matches the Rfam family "Bacterial small subunit ribosomal RNA", at positions 28 to 372 of the family's 1533-position model. The record is from RNAcentral.